RNAcentral lists this ribosomal RNA (1241 nucleotides) under metagenome. Its description in RNAcentral is "bacterial LSU rRNA". It matches the Rfam family "Bacterial large subunit ribosomal RNA", at positions 1564 to 2815 of the family's 2925-position model. The record is from RNAcentral.
UGAAUACGAGACGCUAAGGCGUCGAAGUAGUGUAUGUCAUACUUCCAAGAAAAGCUUGCACUGUCAUAAGUAAAAAAUGCCUGUACCAUAACCGACACAGGUGGGUAGGUAGAGUAUACUAAGGGGCGCGAGAUAACUCUCUCUAAGGAACUCGGCAAAAUAACUCCGUAACUUCGGGAGAAGGAGUACCUUAUUCUAUAAGGUUGCAAUAACAAGAUCCAAGCAACUGUUUAUCAAAACACAGGUCUCCGCUAAGUCGUAAGACGAUGUAUGGGGGCUGACGCCUGCCCAGUGCCAGAAGGUUAAAGAAGUCGGUUAGCAUUAGCGAAGCUGGUAACUGAAGCCCUGGUGAACGGCGGCCGUAACAAUAUCGGUCCUAAGGUAGCGAAAUUCCUUGUCGGGUAAGUUCCGACCCGCACGAAAGGCGCAAUGAUUUGGAUACUGUCUCGGAGAGGGGCUCGGUGAAAUAGACUUGUCUGUGAAGAUGCGGACUACCUGCACCAGGACAGAAAGACCCUAUGAAGCUUUACUGUAACUUGAAAUUGAAAUUGGACUUUAUUCGCGCAGUAUAGGUGGGAGGUGUUGAUUAUAAUCUUGCGGGAUUAUUGGAGCCAUCAGUGAGAUACCACUCUUGUAAUGUUAGAUUUCUAACUUUGAAUCAUUAUCUGGUCAAGGGACAGUUUCAGGCGGGCAGUUUGACUGGGGCGGUCGCCUCCCAAACGGUAACGGAGGCGUACAAAGGUUUCCUCUGAACGGGUAGAAAUCGUAUCUAGAGUGUAAAGGCAUAAGUAAGCUUGACUGUGAGACCUACAAGUCGAACAGGGACGAAAGUCGGUCUUAGUGAUCUGACGGUACUGAGUGGAAAGGCCGUCACUCAACGGAUAAAAGUUACUCUAGGAUAACAGGCUGAUCUCCCCCAAGAGUUCACAUCGACGGGGAGGUUUGGCACCUCGAUGUCGGCUCAUCGCAUCCUGGGGCGGUAGUACGUCCCAAGGGUUGGGCUGUUCGCCCAUGAAAGCGGUACGCGAGCUGGGUUCAGAACGUCGUGAGACAGUUCGGUCCAUAUCCGGUGUAGGCGUUAGAAUAUUGAGAGGAGCCUUCUUUAGUACGAGAGGACCGAGAAGGACAUACCUCUGGUGUACCAGUUAUCGUGCCAACGGUAAACGCUGGGUAGCUAUGUAUGGAGUGGAUAACCGCUGAAAGCAUCUAAGUGGGAAGCCCACCUCAAGAUAAGUAUUCCC